GAUAAACGCUGGCGGCGUGCUUAAUGCAUGCAAGUCGAACGGGAGAUGGAGCUUCGGCUUCAUGUUCAGUGGCGGACGGGUUAGUAACGCGUGGGAACGUGCCCUUCUCUGCGGAAUAGCCACUGGAAACGGUGAGUAAUACCGCAUACGCCCUUCGGGGGAAAGAUUUAUCGGAGAAGGAUCGGCCCGCGUUAGAUUAGAUAGUUGGUGGGUAACGGCCUACCAAGUCUACGAUCUAUAGCUGGUUUUAGAGGAUGAUCAGCAACACUGGGACUGAGACACGGCCCAGACUCCUACGGGAGGCAGCAGUGGGGAAUCUUAGACAAUGGGCGCAAGCCUGAUCUAGCCAUGCCGCGUGUGUGAUGAAGGUCUUAGGAUCGUAAAGCACUUUCGCCAGGGAUGAUAAUGACAGUACCUGGUAAAGAAACCCCGGCUAACUCCGUG
Molecule: ribosomal RNA, 444 nt
Filed under: uncultured bacterium
Lineage: Bacteria
Description: bacterial SSU rRNA
Rfam family: Bacterial small subunit ribosomal RNA
Source: RNAcentral